RNAcentral lists this long non-coding RNA (573 nucleotides) under Phascolarctos cinereus (koala). RNAcentral describes it as "lncRNA (ENSPCIG00000037086.1)". Lineage: Eukaryota; Metazoa; Chordata; Mammalia; Diprotodontia; Phascolarctidae. The record is from RNAcentral.
CCAAGGUGUAGCUCUCGGCCUUCGAGAAGAUCAAGCCUGUGGAAUGGGGGUAAGAGUAAAGUAAUAAUGAAACACUCAACCUGCAUCAUCAGCUUUGGGUUAGAUCUAUAGAGCUGCACCCACCAGGCAGAGAGACCACAACUCCAUUCUCCCUCUCAUCCCUCCUUUCUUUCUCCUAGUUAAAAUGCCUGUGUCUAAUGAGAGCAUCCUAGGCUGGGAACAAGAAUUCCCAGAAUGAACAGCACUGGAUGUUUUGGAAAGAAACCCUAACCUGGCUAGGUUUGGAGUAAUUAACAUGUCACACAAAAACACCAUCAGCUCAACUCUGAGGAUUGCUGUAUUCCAGAAUUCAUGAAGCCCUCACAAAUAAUUUUCCUUUUGGACCUGAGCUUGGAAGAAAUUAAAUUCUGGGGUCCCGAUGCUUAGCUCCCACUGAUGAGAAAUCAAAUCCAGAAAGCCAUCACUUCAGUUCAACAUGUCCUUCAGAUUUGAAGGUCCCAGAUCACCACAGUGGAAUGUGUCCUUCCCAGCAAGCCUGGGCCCUCAGAAAUCAUCUCAAAAAAGUGAACAAAA